GGCAGCAUGGUAUAGUGGUUUGAGUGUUGGAUUGGGAUUCUGGGAGACCAGGGUUCAAAUCCCUGCUUGGUCA
This 73-nucleotide transfer RNA is filed under the name Phrynosoma platyrhinos (Desert horned lizard). RNAcentral describes it as "tRNA-OTHER". The record is from RNAcentral. Lineage: Eukaryota; Metazoa; Chordata; Lepidosauria; Squamata; Phrynosomatidae.